UACGGAGGGUGCAAGCGUUAUCCGGAUUCAUUGGGUUUAAAGGGUACGUAGGCGGGAUAAUAAGUCAGUGGUGAAAGCCCACAGCUCAACUGUGGAACUGCCAUUGAUACUGUUAUUCUUGAGUGCAAUUGAGGUAAGCGGAAUGUGGCAUGUAGCGGUGAAAUGCAUAGAUAUGCCACAGAACACCGAUCGCGAAGGCAGCUUGCCAAGUUGUAACUGACGCUGAGGUACGAAAGCGUGGGGAGCAAACAGG
This 253-nucleotide unclassified non-coding RNA is filed under the name uncultured Bacteroidia bacterium. RNAcentral's name for it is "contains 16S-23S intergenic spacer region". It matches the Rfam family "Bacterial small subunit ribosomal RNA", at positions 524 to 776 of the family's 1533-position model. Lineage: Bacteria; Pseudomonadati; Bacteroidota; Bacteroidia. The record is from RNAcentral.